RNAcentral lists this unclassified non-coding RNA (207 nucleotides) under Hevea brasiliensis (rubber tree). Lineage: Eukaryota; Viridiplantae; Streptophyta; Magnoliopsida; Malpighiales; Euphorbiaceae. The record is from RNAcentral.
GAGGAUGGGGGAACUGUGGGCGUCUUCUCUCCAAAGAAGACUCCCCACCUGGUGAACCUGAACGAAGACCCUCUGAUGUCUGAGUGUCUGCUCUACCACAUCAAAGAUGGCGUCACCAGGGUCGGCCAGGUCGAUGUGGACAUCAAGCUGACGGGGCAGUUCAUCCGGGAGCAACAUUGCCUGUUCCGGAGCAUCCCUCAGUCAGAC